GUCGGCUUGUGGCUAACUUUGUUAAGGUUCCCCAUAGAUGGCAUGACUAACUAGAAUCAAAUUAAUUUAAUAGAAAGCAAAAAAUUUAGUUUUGAGGUCUUAAAUAUAUAUAUUUUAUAUUAAUUUGAAUAAUAAAGACACAUUAACCAAUUAGUAAAUUAAAAUAAUCGAUUCUAUCACGUCACACCGUACCAUUCUAGACUGUGUCAAAUCUUACAAAGAAAUUUUGCCCCUGGCAGCUCUAGGCUCUGUCACUUUAUUUACUUCCGUUCAUUUAGUUUCGUAUUAGUAGUUUUUUAUACAUCAUUCAUUUUCCUUGCCUACAAUUUGUUAUUAAAUCCCAAAAUUAUUAAUUAAAGUCAAAAUUACCAAAGAUACCUCAACUACCAGUGUCACAGUGAUUUAACACUUUAAUAAGCAGAUAAGUGACAAACAUCCAACCACCAUAUUGUAAUUCAUCAAGUUGCAUAGAUAAAGUUGACAAAUAAUAAUUACCAUUACCAUGACAGAAGUUUAAACUGAACUGGAAAAGAUCGUCCUCGAGUCGAGUGCGCUUUUUAUGAUUCUCUUAAUAUCCUACCCAUUGCAUAUCGCAAGAACUGUACAAGACAAACGAAAUAGAAUUUCGGAUUCAAACACGAUCAUGUUCUUUACUUUCGUCAAAAAUUUAUAAAUCUUCAAUGAAUCUAGUGCCGUAAGAUGACCUAUUACCUAAUGUUUAAACUAUCUAGAACCAGGGAUGUUUAAUUAAUGUGCCUAGCUACUGACAGUGCGAGUGAAAUAAACUUAAAAUAUGGAAACUGUUCCUACAAGCAAGCAGGCUGACAACUAUUGAAUGUGGUGUGGACAAGUCAUUACUGAAGAAAAAUAAGUUGAAAUUACACUGUGAGACUCCGUUUACUGAUUUUGAUGAAUCUUUCCUGAGCUUUAAGACAAACAGAGUCAACUCUGAUGGCUGCCUAUAUAUACCUAUACCUAGCGAUCUUGUGAUAUUUAUGCGGAGUGGAGCAAACUUCCAUUUGCUGUUUUCAUGGGCUUUUCCGAGUCUCUCGAUAAUCUCCAAUGCUAUUUGGGACAUUGUCCGAGCCACACAGCGAGUCUAUCAUCCACCUGACCUCAAUCUUUCUCCUGCUGACUGCUUCUAUUUAUGAAAGAUUAUGAAGAAGCAGACCACUCCAGACUCCUGUUCAAUGACUUUAUUUCACGACUUUUGCUGCAACAAUGGCUGCUGUCUUCUGACACUUGAAAGCUCCCGUUCAACGGCUCUAGUACAAGAAACCUGCUCCUACAUCAGCAGUGGUCUACAUUGAAUACUACUUAUAGGGAAAAUUUCACUCAAGAUCUUCCUUUAUAUUAGGUAUCAAGGCGCAAGAAGGUGAAUUUAUAAUUGAUUAUUAUGUGAUGACAAUUCUUAGCUGAGGAAUAUGAAAAGAAUCCCUAACAACAGCGAGAAAAGAACGAGUAAAGAAGAUUGAUAAACUUAUUAAUUAGACAAUAACUCUAAGGAUUUUUUUUUUGUACAUAGUAACAGUUUCAGAAAUAAACGUUAGGUUUCAUGGC
Cydia pomonella (codling moth) is the source of this 1560-nucleotide long non-coding RNA. RefSeq lists it as uncharacterized. The record is from RefSeq and is a predicted model, not a curated record. NCBI's taxonomy places the organism in Eukaryota, Metazoa, Arthropoda, Insecta, Lepidoptera, Tortricidae. The transcript has 6 exons.